AUUGAACGCUGGCGGCAGGCCUAACACAUGCAAGUCGAGCGAGCGGCGGAUGGGAGAGUAAUGUAUGGGCAUCUGCACGAUAGCGGGGGGUAACUACUGGCAACGGUGGCUAAUACCGCAUACUAUUGGAUGACCCCAUAUGGGAUUAGGUAGUAGGUGGGGUAAAGGCUCACCUAGGCGACGAUCUCCAGCUGGUCUGAGAGGAUGAUCAGCCACACUGUGACUGAGACACGGCCCAGACUCCUACGGGAGGCAGCAGUGGGGAAUAUUGCAAAAUGGGCGCAAGCCUGAUGCAGCCAUGCCGCGUGUAUGAAGAAGGCCUUAGGGUUGUAAAGUACUUUCAGCGGGGAGGCGUUACCCGCAGAAGAAGCACCGGCUAACUCCGUGCCAGCAGCCGCGGUAAUUC
Molecule: ribosomal RNA, 406 nt
Filed under: uncultured bacterium
Lineage: Bacteria
Description: partial 16S ribosomal RNA
Rfam family: Bacterial small subunit ribosomal RNA
Source: RNAcentral